Salmo salar (Atlantic salmon) is the source of this 5663-nucleotide non-coding RNA. NCBI's taxonomy places the organism in Eukaryota, Metazoa, Chordata, Actinopteri, Salmoniformes, Salmonidae. The record is from RefSeq and is a predicted model, not a curated record.
AGGAGGGCGCACGUCCAAGGGGAACGAGGGAGGGACCUACACGAGAGCACGGAGGGGGAGGGAAGAUCAUUUCCUUUCUGUAGUGUACACGCCGCAAGAAUACACCGGGAUAAGGACGAAAAAUUACAUAGGGAAGACGGUAAAGGAAAUACCGCAGCCCUGUUGUCUUUUGUUUUGGGAAUUCAUCUAACACAGAACGGAAGACAAACACGGGGAGAUGGUUCUUCAGGAUUGACUUUCAAUAACCCUCUCUACAUGCGAAAAAGUCUGGCGAGUAGACUGAAAAAGGCAAUAGCAGUCAGGGAAGACAUGUUUAGUGAUUUUAGUCCUGCGCUUGAGGUAGGAUGUUGAUGUAUUUUCGUAAAAUAUGGCUCUCUCUGGCACAAAUAAGGGGUCAACGGUGAAUGGGCAUAUUAUUCCAGGAGCAGUAUCAUUAUGAAGUAGUCUAGUUAAUUACUUAGGUUAAUAACAAAACGAUGAAAUAGCCUAGGCCUUCUGCAGACUGAAUAUUGCUGUAACGUUAGUAGGCUAGGCCUAAACAAGGCUAUGAACAGGUGAAAAUUAACGUUAACAACUAAUUUUGUAUAGAAUUUAUUUGUAAUCUGCAUCGUAUCAAUGGCAGUAAGGGCAACACAUUUACAAUUUUAAAGAAACAAGUAGUUAUUAGUUAUAUCGAAUUUCUUGAUCAGAUUUUAUACAUCUGAUCAUCUUUUAAUAUCAAGGGUUGCAUAACAGUGGCUACAUAGGGACAGACUAUAUAAAACCACACUCUGUUUCUUACAAACAUAAUUUUGACCACAGAAAAGAGUUCGACAGAGGCCAAGGUAGAAAGGAUAGGUGGAUAUUUUAGCAUUAGACAGGGAACAUCAGACGUUUUUAAAUGUUAAUGUCGAACGACACAACAUCAAUCAUGCUGCCUGUAUCUCGGGCUAUCAUGGACCGGGAUCGAGAGCUCCAGGACACAAUGGCCGGGGUGCAUCCCAACUCGACCGGGGCUUCUGGCGCAGCUGUCCGGGGAAUGAAGCGAGGAGACCCAGCAUCUGACGCGCAGACGUCGGCAGCUCUUGUGGAAUCGGCCGGGGCAGAGUGCAAGCGUCCCCGGAUUGACGGAUCUGGAGUAGUCGCAGAGGUCGGCCAGAACAAUGACCCCCUGACCCUUGGUUACCAUGGAUACCCAACCCACAGUCAGGGCUCUCAGGAUGCAGCAGGUGGUCAAGAGGGUCUCAUCCCCCCAUCCUUCUCCGCCUUCCCCCCUCCUCCCCCUCCUCCCCCCCAGAACGGCUUGGCCCUGGAGUACGGGGCCAGUCUGUACGCCGCAGGGGCCAUCCAGGGGUCGGUGGAGGCCGGACAGGCAGGCCUUAACACUCCGACAAGCGUCCCAAACAGCUUAACGACCCACCAGUCAGAUGUGUCGUCACAGAUUGAUAACCAGUUGGUGGGUACAGGAGGAGGUGGUGGCGGGGGGUCCGUAGGGGACGACUCCGAGAAGGGGACCCCCAAACGCCUCCACGUCUCCAACAUUCCCUUCCGCUUCAGAGACCCUGACCUCCGGCAGAUGUUUGGGCAAUUUGGAAAGAUCCUUGAUGUAGAGAUCAUAUUCAACGAGAGAGGAUCGAAGGGUUUUGGUUUUGUGACGUUUGAGACGAGCGCGGACGCUGAGAAGGCCAGAGCCGCUCUCCACGGAACUCUGGUGGAAGGACGCAAGGUUGAGGUCAACAACGCCACAGCCAGGGUGAUGACCAAUAAGAAAAUGGUCACCCCAUAUUCUAAUGGAGGAGAGGGGCUCGCCGCUCUACCUUAUGGGCUACUAAAUGCCAACUCCCCUACAGCCGGGUGGAAGUUGAGUCCAAUGGUUGGAGCCAUGUACAGUCCAGAGCUCUAUACAGAUUUCUCUGGCCUGUCUCUCUCAGUCCCUGGUUUCCCGUACCCUGCGGCGGCUGCACAGGCUGCCACAGCGGCAGCGACCUUUAGGGGCGCCCACCUCCGGGGUCGUGGCCGGCCGGUCUACAGUGCUGUCAGGGCAGCCCUACCCCAGCAAGCUAUACCUACAUACCCAGGUGUGAUGUAUCAGGAAGGGUUUUACGGUGCAGCAGACCUCUAUAAUAGUGUUUCAGGACAUUAGUAGCAGAUUGCCCCAGGGUGGCUAUGCUGCGUAUCGCUAUGCUCAGCCGACUGCUGUAGCCAGUCCUGCAGGAGCAGCGGCUGCCGCAGCAGCUGCCUACAGUGAUGGCUACGGACGGGUGUACACGACAGACCCUUACCACGCUGCACUAAACCCUGCCACAGCUGCAGCCUACGGUGUAGGAGCUAUGGCCACACUGUACAGGGGAGGCUACAGUAGAUUUGCGCCCUACUAAAGAUAACCAUAUUUCCCAGGAGCUCUCUCUCAUCCUGUUUGAACAAUCUAUAAAAGAGCUCCCUCUGCUGUCCACGACAGAGAUUGCAGCAAGUUUGUAGCCUACCAUGGAUACCUUUAUAUUUCAAAAUCUCCUGCUGUCCACUCUUUUUCGCUUCAAACAAAAAUAGGAAUGCCGUUUUAAAGACUGGUGGAAAGCCUUGACAAAGAAAAGAAAAUAGAAAAAAAUAACUUGUAUUUGAACCAAAUGGCCGCUUGUUUCCAUUGCACGGCUGUAUUAUAGUCCCCCUGUUUCUCCCUCUCGACACUCUCAGCAGCACAAGACACAGAAUGGUCGCCCCCAGCUAGCGUACCUCCAGAGCCUAUCAUGUAACUGGUGUCCGGACCGUUAACUGAACACUGAGACAAACCCCCUACCACACGUAUAACAGCCAAGGUGUAAUGUGGCAUGUACUAUACACAAUUCACACAUCAAGAAUGGAGGUGGAGCCUAGUUAUGGAAGACAGAACUGUGACUGCCAGUGUCUGUGGAGCCUGAAUGAGCGAGAAACCACAGCAACCGAGCACCAAAAGCAUUUUGGAACAGAAAGACAAUUUGCAAACAAAAUGGAGGAUGUGACUCCAUGUUUCCUCUUGUUGGGCGAAGGAGUAUGAGAGAGGAAAUGACAUCAUUGCAGAGAGAGGGAUGGACUGAUGUUUUUUUUAACACUAUUAGAAAUUACUCACUUCAAACUGAGCAGUAAAAGGAUUAUCAUAGCUGUUCCUUACCUCAAAGUUUUCUUAGUCCGUGAAAAUGGCGAACCUUUAAACAUUUUAUUGUUACAAUUAUGCAAAUAAAUUAGAGAGAAAAAAAGUUACCAAAAUUAUUAUUAUUAUUAUUAUUAUUAUUAUUAUUAUUAUUACUGAUUUAUAGCGUUGUCUUUAUUGCGUUAUUAUUGUUAGUUUUAGGGGUUCGCUGAGCACACCUCUAAACACAUUUUCCACUUCCCUAGAAACGAGGUCUAGGGGCUAGGACUACAGUGUAGAUAAUAUCUGUAAGCCGUUCACUACAGUGGGCAACACUACACGUCCCCUCUACAUUACACAAUAUUAUACCGAACUAAACUUCCAGUGCACAACAUCAUAUUCUCACAAUACUUCACGCUAUACACAAAUCACUCAGAAUUAUAUAAUAUUUCAUCACUACUAUAGAGGUACCGGCUAGCUUUUUAUUGCAUUGUGAAUGUUAGGCUUAGACAUAUAUCACUAUCAUUGAAACAACCAGAACCUAGUGACCUAGAAUACUUAUUCAGUUAUGUUUCUUUGAAAAGUUAUGAUAGAGAUGUUUUAUUUGGCUAUAUGAUUGAUUUCCCUAACUUGUUCUGUCUUUUAGAAGAGCAGGUAAACAUCAAGUACAGUCUUCCUGAGAAUAGCUACGUUGGUAAUAGAUAGUGAGAGUCUGUCAACAGGCGUUGAAAGAGGGACACCAUCAAUAUGAAAAAUAUUUAAUGCAAAAUACCAUACUAUUGUGCAUAUUUCUAUAUCCUUAUACUCUAUUUCCAAAUGUGGUUGUUUUUGCCUUUUUUUUGUGUUCCAAAGAUUUGUAGAAAAGCACACUUUUAGUCAUGUGUAUGAUAAAUAUAUUGUCGUUAUUGUGGUUAUUAUUAUAAGUGCUGUCUUUUUAUUUGUUGCAUUAGCUCUUGUUAUAUUUUUUCUAUUGGUAAAUGUUGUUGUUCCUCCUAAAGUAAGGUGACAUUUUCAUUUCCUCCAAGAUUAGUUGAAAUCUGAUUUUUUUUUCCUCCAUUGUUGUUUUCUUGGGCAGAGGGGAAUGGACUAUUUGGUAGUUUCAAAGAGGGAGGGAACCAUUUUACUGCUACUAAUGCCACUAUGACAUCAGCCUAUCUAGUGUUCUAUAUCUAUGGAGCGAAAAAACGGGAACGCAUGUAAAACUAAACUAUCAAAAAAAAUCUCAAUGGAAGAAACGGGAGUUUUUGGUCCAGACUGAAAUAGGGUGAUGGGGGUUGGCAAGCAUUGGAUUGAGUAUUUCCCCCCCAAAAAAAUAGGGAAAGGCUGAAAUGUUCGGGCCUCACAAUUUAUUCAAAAUCCAAAGUUUACAGUAGACAAAAAUACCUUGGAAUGAAUGGUGGCCUGACAAGCACUUCUUCUGACCUGGUGAAGUAACCUAGUCGAUCUGUCGUAGACAAAGACAACUAACAUUUCAGUGCUGAAAUUAGUCGGUUAAGGUUUAAAACGGAUGUGAAGAGCGUAGCACUCGUGUGCUGUCUAGGUUAAAGGGCAUGCAGUUUUGAAUGAUCCAAGUAUACAAAAGGUUGUAAGUGUUAUCGUUUGGUUUGUACAAUGGUAAAUGUUUCAAAGCAGUUUUACAAAGAAAAUGUUAUGUGGGGCAUGAACUAAUUACUAUGAAACAAUAUUUCAAAAUGCUGCAGUCAUUGUUUAUUUUGAAAUGUUUGCUCUAUUUUUCAUUUUAUCUUCGGUUUUCUGGCUGUGUGUACCACUCUUCUCAGUGUGAACCUAAUCUAAGACAUCAACAGGGAUCAAACUCUUCUUCUCUGGUCAUUUGACUUUAUUAUCAUGUAUUGCAAAAGUGGACUGAAAUAUGAAUAACUGAAAAGAUACAGCCAAAGAGUUAUUUAUGCCCUAUUUCUAUGGUUACCGAAUUGAGAAACGCAGAGCAAAGUGGAUAAAUGAUUGACAACCUAUUGAACCAAUCAACAUGGGCAAUUAGCAUGAUGUCGUUCUCCAGGAAGUAGAGUUUGAGACCCCUGACCUAACUGUUUUGCAUGAUUUGUCUGUCUUUUGAGAUCAGACUCCAACAGCAUUCGGUUGCAGUAGUCAUCUUUUGCCACUAAACACCAUUGAGAAUGCUAGGCAGCUAGCCCUUUUUUUAUGCUUAGGAUGCUAGUGUAGCAAAGAAGAGCAGAGUGCUGUUUGUCAAAGACUCAGGCCCAGUGAUGGGCAAAACAAAAUGGCCGCCACGAGGCAAGAACACAAUGGCAACGUUCUAAUUUCCAUACCAGCAUAUUACUUUGAAUUCAUACCUUGAUACAGUGCUUCAUACUAAGUAGUAUACUUGUGUGGAUAUUGGAACAGAGCCAUGGAGUAGGCUCAUUCCUUGUCAUGUUUUUUUGGCUCCUUGUAUGAUAUACAGUGAGGUGGUUCUUAAUCACUAUAGGUUCCAAAUGGAAGUGACUGUCCUUUUACGAAUCUCUUCCCCUCUCAUGUUUAUCCCUUGGCUGCCAUUAUGCUAUUUUGUUAGUGAAUGUCCAUAUAAAAUCUUUUAUAUAAAAUAUUUUGUUGUGGUUUGUGA